RNAcentral lists this ribosomal RNA (253 nucleotides) under uncultured bacterium. RNAcentral's name for it is "partial 16S ribosomal RNA". It matches the Rfam family "Bacterial small subunit ribosomal RNA", at positions 524 to 776 of the family's 1533-position model. The record is from RNAcentral.
UACAGAGGUCCCAAGCGUUGUUCGGAUUCACUGGGCGUAAAGGGUGCGUAGGCGGCCGGGUAAGUCUGAUGUGAAAUCUCACAGCUUAACUGUGAAACUGCAUUGGAUACUAUCCGGCUCGAGGAAUGGAGGGGAGACUGGAAUACUUGGUGUAGCAGUGAAAUGCGUAGAUAUCAAGUGGAACACCAGUGGCGAAGGCGGCUCACUGGACCGGUACUGACGCUGAGGCGCGAAAGCGUGGGGAUCAAACAGG